UGGGAGAUAGUAUAUGGGUAGUACGGGGGGUUUUGGGACCCCAGGUACGGGUUCAAGUCCUGUUCUUCUAA
This 71-nucleotide transfer RNA is filed under the name Eremias velox (rapid racerunner). Its description in RNAcentral is "tRNA-Gln". It matches the Rfam family "tRNA". Rfam says of the family: Transfer RNA (tRNA) molecules are approximately 80 nucleotides in length. Their secondary structure includes four short double-helical elements and three loops (D, anti-codon, and T loops). Lineage: Eukaryota; Metazoa; Chordata; Lepidosauria; Squamata; Lacertidae. The record is from RNAcentral.